AGAGAUGUGUGAUGACGCAUAUCAAUAAGCGGAGGAAAAGAAACUAACAAGGAUUCCCUUAGUAACGGCGAGUGAAGCGGGAAGAGCUCAAAUUUGAAAUCUUCAAGGUUCUACCUUGACGAAUUGUAGUUUAUAAGAAGUGUUUUCUGUUAGUAGGAGUGGCAAAAGUUCUUUGGAAUAGGACAUCAUAGAGGGGUGAGAAUCCCGUAUUUGGUCAUUCUUUCUAGCUUUGUGAUACACUUUCAACGAGUCGGAUUGUUUGGGAAUGCAGUCCAAAAUGGGUGGUAAAUUUCAUCUAAAGCUAAAUAUUGGCGGGAGACCGAUAGCGAACAAGUACCGUGGGGGAAAGAUGAAAAGAACUUUGAAAAGAGAGUUAAAACAGUACGUGAAAUUGUCAAAAGGGAAGCGUUUGACACCAGUGUUGUUUUUUCCGAAAAUCAAUUACGAAUGUUUUAUUUUUGAGAAGUUAUGACUUCAUCGGCUUGCUUCUCUCUUUAUGAAACUUUCUUAAUGCACUUUUCGGUUAACAAGUCAACAUCAAUUUCUUUUGUUGUAAAAGGGUAUGAGGAAGGUGGCUUUCUUUUCGGAGAAAGUGUUUAUAGCCUUGUACCUCUGCAAUCGGAGAGAUUGAGGUCUGCAGCGUAGAUCCUUCGGGGUUAGAUACAUUUGUGCUAAGUUAUAGCUUUUCAUAGACAACUUGUUGACUAUGUUUAGUCUUGUAGCUUACUCGCUUAUGCUAUUUUACCUACGCUUAGGAUGUUGAAGAUGUAGCACAUCAU
RNAcentral lists this ribosomal RNA (779 nucleotides) under uncultured Neocallimastigales. Its description in RNAcentral is "partial large subunit ribosomal RNA". It matches the Rfam family "Eukaryotic large subunit ribosomal RNA", at positions 23 to 643 of the family's 3401-position model. Lineage: Eukaryota; Fungi; Neocallimastigomycota; Neocallimastigomycetes; Neocallimastigales. The record is from RNAcentral.